Non-coding RNA from Paramormyrops kingsleyae, 1916 nucleotides. Lineage: Eukaryota; Metazoa; Chordata; Actinopteri; Osteoglossiformes; Mormyridae. The record is from RefSeq and is a predicted model, not a curated record.
GUGCAGCAGACAGGUACUAACAACCCUAAUAAUGGUGACAGCAACAAAGUCGGCCAAGACGACACUGCUGUCACUAGCAACACUACUUCUGUUGAUGAGCAAAUGUUACCACAAUCAGCAGCAACAAGUGAUGCAGCUGCUACGCCACUCUCAGAACCUGCAUCUUCUUGUGGAAAUGCUGAAACAGAGAAGCAAAUAUCCUCUGUUGUAUUAAGUGACAGUGUCAAUGGUGUUAGUGUAGUGCAGGAGCCUAUUGCUGGUUGUUCAAGCUAUGCUGAUAGAGCGAGCUCUAAUGCACACAUAUAUAGCGGAUCACAACAAGCUGGUUCCUCCGCCCCUCCUAAUGAAUGUGUUAUACUUGAAGAUGACCCAGCAUUAUGGCCCAAGGAGCUUACAGACAAGGAGCGCUGCUCAUUGGUGCUGAAAGGACCAGUUCAGGUGAAGAACAGAAUAUUUCCUAAGAAUAAAGAGGGGCGCAGAUUUACUAAUAGUCACUACUACAUACAAUUAAAGAAUGGAGAAGAGAUAACCAGAUCCUGGCUUGUGUACAGUGAAAAAAAUGAUUGUGUUGUGUGCUUUUGUUGCUGCUUGUUUGGAGACAGACAAAAAAAUGCUCUUAGUGGGGAAGGAUAUAAUGCUUGGAAAAAUCUUGCAGCCCACUUGAAACACCAGGAGCGGUCCCCUGAACAUAUCACAAACAUGGAGAGCUGGGCUGGCACACUGUAUCACACAGACUAAAAACAUGCACAGCUAUAGAUCAGCUGAACCAGGAUAGAAUUGCUCUAGAGGUAAACCGCUGGAAAGAGAUUCUACGAAGAAUAAUUGCAAUUGUGUGCCAUUUAGCAGAACGUUGUAUUGCAUUUUGUGGACACUCAGAGAAGUUAUUUGAGGCUGGCAAUGGGAAUUUUCUUGGUCAAGUGGAAUUGAUGGCUGUUCGACCCUGUUAUGCGUGAACAUUUGAGAAAAAUUCAGGCUAAAGAGGUCAGUGACACUUAUUUUAGCAAAGAUAUUCAAAUUGAACUCAUCUCCCUUGCAGCAAAAAGUACAACUGAUGCAAUUGUCCAAAGAGUUAAGAAAGCCAAAUACUAUGCAGUAAUUAUGGACUGCACCCCAGACCUUAGUCACAAUGAGCAGCUGUCUGUUGUUCUAAGGAUCGUAAAUUGUGAGGCCUCAAAAGGUAUCUCCAUUCAUGAACAUUUUGUUGGAUUCCUUCCGGCACAUGACACAACUGAGAAAGGCUUAUGUGAGUCAUUUUUAGGACACUUAGAAACACUUGGUUUGGACCUUCCCAACUGUCGGGGCCAGUCAUAUGAUAACGGGAGUAAUAUGCAGGGAAAAGAGCAAGGGGUCCAAAAGAGAGCGCUGGAACUAAACAACAAAGCAUUAUGUAUUCCUUGUGGAAGUCAUACACUGAACCUUGUUGUCAGUGAUGCAGCCAAGUCAUCUGUGACUUCUAUGAGCUUUUUUGGUCUGUUACAGCGACUUUACACUCUGUUUAGUUCCUCAGUUCACCGCUGGGCCAUUCUCAGAGAACAUGUCAAGGAUCUCUCAGUGAAGGCACUAUCAACAACCAGAUGGGAGUGUCGGGUUGAAGCUGUUAAAGCUGUUCGAUACCAGCUGCCUGAAAUAUUGAAGGCUUUAACUGCUCUGAUGAAGUACGCUACAGAGAAAAGGGAUGCAGAAGUUCUUUCAACAGCUGGAAGCCUCCUCCGGGAGAUGCAAGGGUGGCCAUUUAUGUGAAACAACAUAGAAGACAGAGGCCGAUCAUCAAAUAUUAAUCUGCUGGAAUAAAAAGGGCUGUUCUAGACAUCUGGAUAAGAUUGAUCUGGGAUGACGAGUGAAGAGAAUUUUAAGGUAGGCCUUAAAAAAAGCACGUAAUGCAGAGGGCCCCAUAUCCAUGUUCGCCUUGAGCCCCA